This 255-nucleotide ribosomal RNA is filed under the name uncultured bacterium. RNAcentral describes it as "partial 16S ribosomal RNA". It matches the Rfam family "Bacterial small subunit ribosomal RNA", at positions 524 to 776 of the family's 1533-position model. The record is from RNAcentral.
UACGUAGGGGGCUAGCGUUGUCCGGAAUCAUUGGGCGUAAAGAGCGUGUAGGCGGUCCGGUAAGUCCGCUGUGAAAGUCGGGGGCUCAACCCUCGAAUGCCGGUGGAUACUGUCGGGCUAGAGUGCGGAAGAGGCGAGUGGAAUUCCUGGUGUAGCGGUGAAAUGCGCAGAUAUCAGGAGGAACACCGGUGGCGAAGGCGGGUCUCUGGGCCGAUACUGACGGCUGAGGAGCGAAAGCCCAGGGGAGCAAACGGG